GGGCUCGUAGCUCAGCCUGGACAUGUUAAAAGCCAGAGAGAGCAUCGGCCCUCUAAGCCGGGGGUCGUGGGUUCGAAUCCCACCGGGCCCGCCA
This 94-nucleotide transfer RNA is filed under the name Candidatus Bathyarchaeota archaeon. Its description in RNAcentral is "tRNA-Arg". It matches the Rfam family "tRNA". Rfam says of the family: Transfer RNA (tRNA) molecules are approximately 80 nucleotides in length. Their secondary structure includes four short double-helical elements and three loops (D, anti-codon, and T loops). Further hydrogen bonds mediate the characteristic L-shaped molecular structure. tRNAs have two regions of fundamental functional importance: the anti-codon, which is responsible for specific mRNA codon recognition, and the 3' end, to which the tRNAs corresponding amino acid is attached (by aminoacyl-tRNA synthetases). tRNAs cope with the degeneracy of the genetic code in two manners: having more than one tRNA (with a specific anti-codon) for a particular amino acid; and 'wobble' base-pairing, i.e. permitting non-standard base-pairing at the 3rd anti-codon position. The record is from RNAcentral. Lineage: Archaea; Thermoproteati; Candidatus Bathyarchaeota.